GACCCAAGGCCCAGUCCCGUGAAAGCCGGGGCCGUCCGAAAGGGCGCGGCGCUCAUCG
Molecule: ribozyme, 58 nt
Filed under: human gut metagenome
Description: Twister_sister_ribozyme
Rfam family: Twister_sister_ribozyme (bases 5-56)
Source: RNAcentral